This 586-nucleotide ribosomal RNA is filed under the name uncultured bacterium. RNAcentral describes it as "bacterial SSU rRNA". It matches the Rfam family "Bacterial small subunit ribosomal RNA", at positions 338 to 916 of the family's 1533-position model. The record is from RNAcentral.
CCUACGGGAGGCAGCAGCGGGGAAUUUUGGACAAUGGACGAAAGUCUGAUCCAGCAAUGCCGCGUGCAGGACGAAGGCCUUCGGGUUGUAAACUGCUUUUGUACGGAACGAAACGGCCUGCUUUAAUACAGUGGGCUAAUGACGGUACCGUAAGAAUAAGCACCGGCUAACUACGUGCCAGCAGCCGCGGUAAUACGUAGGGUGCGAGCGUUAAUCGGAAUUACUGGGCGUAAAGCGUGCGCAGGCGGUUAUAUAAGUCAGAUGUGAAAUCCCGGGCUCAACCUGGGACCUGCAUUUGAGACUGUAUAGCUAGAGUACGGUAGAGGGGGAUGGAAUUCCGCGUGUAGCAGUGAAAUGCGUAGAUAUGCGGAGGAACACCGAUGGCGAAGGCAAUCCCCUGGACCUGGUACUGACGCUCAUGCACGAAAGCGUGGGGAGCAAACAGGAUUAGAUACCCUGGUAGUCCACGCCCUAAACGAUGUCAACUGGUUGUUGGGUCUUCACUGACUCAGUAACGAAGCUAACGCGUGAAGUUGACCGCCUGGGGAGUACGGCCGCAAGGUUGAAACGUCAAAGGAAUUGACGG